UAAGGAAUAUUGCUCAGUGGGAGAAAUCCUGAAGCAGCAACGCCGCGUGGAGGAUGAAGGGUCUAUGACUUGUAAACUCCUGUAAAGAAGGAAAAAAUUCCCAUUAGAUGGGAGAUGAUGGUACUUCUGGAGUAAGCCCCGGCUAACUACGUGCCAGCAGCCGCGGUAAUACGUAGGGGGCAAGCGUUGUCCGGAUUUACUGGGUGUAAAGGGUGCUCAGGCGGAUUUGUAAGUCAGAGGUGAAAUCUUACAGCUUAACUGUGAAACUGCCUUUGAUACUGCAAGCCUAGAGUAUGGAAGAGAGUGAUGGAAUAUCUGGUGUAGCAGUGAAAUGCGUAGAUAUCAGAUAGAACACCAAUGGCGAAGGCAGUCACUUGGUCCAUUACUGACGCUAAAGCACGAAAGCGUGGGUAGCAAACA
This 420-nucleotide ribosomal RNA is filed under the name uncultured bacterium. RNAcentral describes it as "bacterial SSU rRNA". It matches the Rfam family "Bacterial small subunit ribosomal RNA", at positions 355 to 774 of the family's 1533-position model. The record is from RNAcentral.